CUAGGGAUGACAUGCUUACGCGUCGUGUAUCUGAUCCCGAUACGGUUCGACUUUAGCCGACUGAAGAAUGUACUAGUGUUUUCGCACGUCGACAACCAGUACGCCAUCACAUUCAAUGCCAUAUUAAAAAAUGGUUGCAAGAUACCCGAGCCCUCGGUGGUAGAUGAACGCUGGCGGUCUGCUUAACACAUGCAAGUCGAACGGAAGUAGCAAUACUUUAGUGGCGGACGGGUGAGUAACACGUAAGAACCUGCCUCUUGGCCGGGGACAACAGUUGGAAACGGCUGCUAAUCCCGGAUGAGCCGAAAGGUAAAAGAUUAAUCGCCAAGAGAGGGGCUUGCGUCUGAUUAGCUAGUUGGUAGUGUAAGAGACUACCAAGGCGACGAUCAGUAGCUGGUCUGAGAGGAUGAUCAGCCACACUGGGACUGAGACACGGCCCAGACUCCUACGGGAGGCAGCAGUGGGGAAUUUUCCGCAAUGGGCGAAAGCCUGACGGAGCAAGACCGCGUGGGGGAGGAAGGUUCUUGGAUUGUCAACCCCUUUUCUCAGGGAAGAAGAAAGUGACGGUACCUGAGGAAGAAGCAUCGGCUAACUCCGUGCCAGCAGCCGCGGUAAUACGGAGGAUGCAAGCGUUAUCCGGAAUGAUUGGGCGUAAAGAGUCCGUAGGUGGCCCUUCAAGUCUGCUGUUAAAGAGCGAGGCUUAACUUCGGAAAAGCAGUGGAAACUGGAGAGCUAGAGUGUAGUAGGGGCAGAGGGAAUUCCUGGUGUAGCGGUGAAAUGCGUAGAGAUCAGGAAGAACACCGGUGGCGAAAGCGCUCUGCUGGGCUACAACUGACACUGAGGGACGAAAGCUAGGGGAGCGAAUGGGAUUAGAUACCCCAGUAGUCCUAGCGGUAAACGAUGGAAACUAGGUGUGGCCUGUAUCGACCCGGGCCGUGCCGGAGCAAACGCGUUAAGUUUCCCGCCUGGGGAGUACGCACGCAAGUGUGAAACUCAAAGGAAUUGACGGGGGCCCGCACAAGCGGUGGAGUAUGUGGUUUAAUUCGAUGCAACGCGAAAAACCUUACCAGGACUUGACAUCUCUGGAAUCCGUCUGAAAGGGUGGAGUGCCUUAGGGAACCAGAAGACAGGUGCUGCAUGGCUGUCGUCAGCUCGUGUCGUGAGAUGUUGGGUUAAGUCCCGCAACGAGCGCAACCCUCGUCGUUAGUUGCCAUCAUUAAGUUGGGAACUCUAGCGAGACUGCCGGUGACAAACCGGAGGAAGGUGAGGAUGACGUCAAGUCAGCAUGGCCCUUACGUCCUGGGCGACACACGUACUACAAUGCUAAGGACAGAGAGCAGCCAACCCGCGAGGGAGAGCGAAUCUCAUAAACCUUGGCACAGUUCAGAUUGAAGCUUGCAACUCAGCUUCAUGAAGGAGGAAUCGCUAGUAAUCGCAGGUCAGCAUACUGCGGUGAAUCCGUUCCCGGGCCUUGUACACACCGCCCGUCACACCAUGGAAGUGAGCCACGCCCGAAGUCAUUACUCUAACCUGCAAGGGGGGAGGGUGCCGAAGGCAGGGCUGAUGACUGGGGUGAGUCGUAACAAGGUAGCCGAUACGA
This 1600-nucleotide ribosomal RNA is filed under the name Planktothrix mougeotii HAB3343. RNAcentral's name for it is "bacterial SSU rRNA". It matches the Rfam family "Bacterial small subunit ribosomal RNA". The record is from RNAcentral. Lineage: Bacteria; Bacillati; Cyanobacteriota; Cyanophyceae; Oscillatoriales; Microcoleaceae.